RNAcentral lists this unclassified non-coding RNA (306 nucleotides) under plant metagenome. Its description in RNAcentral is "partial contains 5.8S ribosomal RNA, internal transcribed spacer 2, and large subunit ribosomal RNA". The stretch from base 1 to 105 matches the Rfam family "5.8S ribosomal RNA", at positions 50 to 154 of the family's 154-position model. The record is from RNAcentral.
GAAAUGCGAUAAGUAAUGUGAAUUGCAGAAUUCAGUGAAUCAUCGAAUCUUUGAACGCACAUUGCGCCCGCCAGUAUUCUGGCGGGCAUACCUGUCCGAGCAUCAUUUCAACCAUCAAGCCCCCGGGCUUGUGUUGGGGACCUGCGGCUGCCCGCAGGCCCUGAAAACCAGUGGCGGGCUCGCUGUCACACCGAGCGUAGUAGCAAUCACCUCGCUCAGGGCGUGCUGCGGGUUCCGGCCGUUAAACAGCCUUACAAAACCCAAGGUUGACCUCGGAUCAGGUAGGAAGACCCGCUGAACUUAAGC